GAUGAACGCUGGCGGCGUGCUUAACACAUGCAAGUCGAACGAAGCACUUUAUUUGAUUUCCUUCGGGACUGAUUAUUUUGUGACUGAGUGGCGGACGGGUGAGUAACGCGUGGGUAACCUGCCUUGUACAGGGGGAUAACAGUUGGAAACGGCUGCUAAUACCGCAUAAGCGCACAGCAUCGCAUGAUGCAGUGUGAAAAACUCCGGUGGUAUAAGAUGGACCCGCGUUGGAUUAGCUAGUUGGUGAGGUAACGGCCCACCAAGGCGACGAUCCAUAGCCGACCUGAUAGGGUGACCGGCCACAUUGGGACUGAGACACGGCCCAAACUCCUACGGGAGGCAGCAGUGGGGAAUAUUGCACAAUGGGCGAAAGCCUGAUGCAGCGACGCCGCGUGAGCGAAGAAGUAGUUCGGUAUGUAAAGCUCUAUCAGCAGGGAAGAUAAUGACGUUACCUGACUAAGAAGCACCGGCUAAAUACGUG
Molecule: ribosomal RNA, 481 nt
Filed under: uncultured bacterium
Lineage: Bacteria
Description: partial 16S ribosomal RNA
Rfam family: Bacterial small subunit ribosomal RNA
Source: RNAcentral